This is a non-coding RNA of Prunus avium (sweet cherry), 473 nucleotides long. The record is from RefSeq and is a predicted model, not a curated record. Lineage: Eukaryota; Viridiplantae; Streptophyta; Magnoliopsida; Rosales; Rosaceae.
UAUGCCAGAAUCCCUUGAAGGCAGGGAUAAUGAGACUGGUUCAGCUGCAUAUAGAACUGAAGUUCUCUCCAUCAAGGAUCAACUUGCAAAAGAACAGAGCAGAGCAGAGGCAUUAUCAGCCGAGGUAUUGCAGCUGUCCGCACGACUCCAACAAUCCACCCAAGCAUACAAUGGGCUUGCACACCUCUAUAAACCAGUGUUACGAAACAUAGAAAGCAGUCUCAUCAAGUUGAAACAAGAUGGCCCUGUGACUGUGCGGUGAAUGCAGAGGCAAAUAAGCACAACCCCCUUUGUAGAAAAAUUGGUCAAAGAAGCGCAUUUUCAAUUGUAAAGUUUUUCAAACCCAUUUGGGCUCGGCUUUUUUCAUGUAUCAAGAUGUGCACUAGUGAAAAAAGUGGUAUUCUCUGUAUCAAACCCAUUUGUAGCACCACAUGUCAAAGAAACGAUUUAAAUCCCAAAAAUUUGUGGCCUUA